UCUUCUCUGUCACAAAAAGCUCAUCAUCAGUACUACACUGAGAUGUUAUUUCUCUUCAGCAUGUGGUUAAUACAGAGCCAGAGAACUGUGUAAGAGAGCACUGCAACAACAGCAAAAAGUAACCAUGGAAAAUGAAAAAAAAAAAAAAAAUCCUCUUGCUGUCAGUGGUUCAGAGCUUUACCUGUAAGGGAGCAAUUCCAGAUCGUGCAAUAUGCUUCAUUAGCCCAUUCAGCUUCUCAGUGUGUUAUUAAGGUUCAACUUGCUUAACAAAACUGGGGAGAUCAGAAUAUGCCAUUCAAAUGGAGAAUGGCUUGAACAGUCUCUGCUAUAAGUGGCUUACGUAGUUCAUUGUAGAUUGAUGCAGGGAAUCUGCUGAUAGAGACAAAGCAUACAGGAUAUUAUUUCAAAGGCCCUGGAGCUGUAGGAUGAGAAUUCUUUAGCAAAGUCCUUUUACUCAGACAAAGUAAAAAUAAAAUAUCUUACGUAGGAUAUAAGGAGGUUUGAAUUUAAAUCAGUGAAAUGAUGAAAGAGACCAGUAAAGCAGCCAUUUUGAACAGCUCAGCACAGGCUUUCUUUCUUUGUGUAACCACUAGAUCCUAGGGAAUGUUUAAUUUAUGCAGUCUUUAGUCAAACUGUUUUCACUUUAGAGUAGUUAUCUGUAGACUUGAAAUCACAGGCAGGAACCUUUCCAUCAGUUUCCAUGGUCCCUACAUUGAAUGCACAGUGAACGGAAAAGCACACCAAACUGUUCAGAACCUAAUUUGAAAACUGACAAUCUGCAAACCUCAUUAAAUGCAGGAUCUCUGUUGCAGCAUGGGGUCACAUGUCCAGGCACAAAUCCACGCUGGCAAGAACUUGGAGGAAAAGUGGGUAGGAGUGAAGGAGAAAUGGGGAACAAAUGAGAGGAGGGUGUUGUGAUGAAAUAAGCACGAGUGCCAGCUGAAAUGAUGUGACCACAAGCCCUGGAUGUGUACAGCAAUGCCUUGAGCUGGAUUAAGAGGACUGGGAGUCAUAGAAUCAUUUAGGUUGGAAAAGAUCUCUAAGAUUAUCUAGUCCAACCUUUAAGCCUGGACAGGCAUCUCAGAACUCUUUGGGAAAGGAUAUUUGUUGGAUGUUUACUUUAUGGUCUGUUUUACUCCAUCUCUGUCCACUCUAUAUGCCAUGGUGACACAGGUCAGUGAAGACACUGCAAGGAAAGAGCCAUCUGAGAAAUCUGGAGAGGACAGAAAGCUGGUGACAGAUGUCAAACUGUCAGGAUUAUAAAAGACCAUGGUCCCGUUGCGUGACAGAGGUCAGAAUUUACUGAUGCCAUCUGUACUUGCUACAGAGAACAAAAUACUAAGG
This is a long non-coding RNA of Oxyura jamaicensis (ruddy duck), 1344 nucleotides long. RefSeq lists it as uncharacterized. The transcript has 3 exons. NCBI's taxonomy places the organism in Eukaryota, Metazoa, Chordata, Aves, Anseriformes, Anatidae. The record is from RefSeq and is a predicted model, not a curated record.